UGCCGGGGCAGGGAAGAACGAGGGCAGCCCUUUCCCCGUUCCUCCCGUGCUCCGGGACCCCGAGCAGAGCUGCCCGUCUGUCCCCGUGUCCCUGUGUCUGUCCUCAGGCGGCCCCAGGAGCUGGCACUGACCGUGCCGCGGGUCGGGCACAGGCUGCUCCCAGCUCUGCCUGCGGAACUUGGGCAAUUACCCACAGCUGUUCUUUGCCCUGCCAUCCAUAAGGUGCGGCUCAUCUGACACCUGCCAGACGGGGAAGGUCCUGCCUGGGAGGGAAACGGCUACAGGGGAGGAAACCAAGAAAUGUCCAACCGGACGGUGCUGCGCGAGUCAAAAGAGGGGCAAGAGCGCAGAGAAAUAGAGUCAGGAAAUGCGCUUUUAUUCAAUCUCGGCAGGAGCCCUUCGCAGCCCCGGGCCGGAGGGAGCGCGGCCGGCUGGGCUGUGCCCGGCUGGGGACGGGCACCAAUUCAUCACUGCCCUGCUCAGGGAGAUUUUCCGGCCCUGCCCGGGAUUCACCCAACGGCUGUAAAGGUGCUCGUGCGACAACCGAGCUCAUUUCCAGGGAUAAAAGAGCCAACCCAGUCCGGAGGGAUCCCUCGCUCCGAGGCAAAGGCGUUGCUCGAGUGUCGCCGCCUGGUCCCGCCUGCGGGGGGGCGUCUCCUCCAGUUUCCCAGGGAGAAGAACAGGAACUCACAGCCACCAAGGCCUGACAGUGCCCUGCAGCCAGAGCUCAGCACACACCCAGAGAGGCAAUUCCAGCAUCUAAAAGAAAAAAAAAAAAAAAGAAGAAAAAUUGAUUUAUUUUGUUUUAAA
This is a long non-coding RNA of Manacus vitellinus (golden-collared manakin), 810 nucleotides long. RefSeq lists it as uncharacterized. The transcript is spliced from 3 exons. Lineage: Eukaryota; Metazoa; Chordata; Aves; Passeriformes; Pipridae. The record is from RefSeq and is a predicted model, not a curated record.